UGAAAUUAUUUAACUCUUUGCACAGGUUGUCACUGAGUUCAGGUUCCUGAGUUUACAGUCUCAACUUUCCAUUAUUGUUGGGUAUUUAUAGGAAUUUAUGAUGUUUCUUAAGGUUUAAGGUAAGGUUUGUUGGUUGUAUUGGUGUGGUUACUGAAAGGUCUGUUCCUUUGUUUUUUAGUGUUACACUUUUGAGUGUAAGUGUACGAAAUUCUAUGGACAUUUGAGUGUAAAAUGACAGCGGAUGUGACAGCGGACAGUAUUAAACGAAAAUUAUCGGUGUGCCAAUCAAGCAAAGGGACAAGGAACUUCCGAAUAUGGCCUAACUGGGGGCACAUAACAUAACAUAACCUAAUCCUAAUAUUUACAUUUGUAAAGAAUAUCCUGUUUGUUUUUAUUGUCGAUUGUGCAGCGAAAUUGUGUGCAGCAAAUCAAAUAUAAAGUAGUUUAUCGCCUACAGAACUGAAUUAGUCCAUAGCAGUUAUCAGUUUUUCUUUCUUGGGAAGCUUAUACAUGUAACUUGUAUUGUUGUAAAUUGUGGGAGUAGGGCAGACAGGGAAAAGUCUUAUUUUGUACUGUUCCCAAGGCUCCCCAUGCAAUACAUUUAAAUGAAUUAUCCAAACAAAGCCGGGGACAAUGGAUAAAAGCCACAAGAAGAACAGAUAUAAGGGAACUAAAAUUAAAAUAUGAAAAGUAAACAUUUUAUAAGUGGAACAACACCAGAUAUUUAAAAGGUAUAAAAAGAAGAAACUGCUGGAAUUUCAAAACAAAUGUGUUUGACUAGUAAAGAUUUGGAUAAAUAACAGGAGUUACUUUGGGCUAUAGCUACGUGCAGAUUUAUUUCCUUGUGGCUUCCUAUGUUAAUUCUUAUUAAUUAUACACUUAAAUAUGUUUUUAGUCUCAGGAAGAUUUUAUAUUUGAUUAUUUUUGAAUAAACAUUAUUAUUAUUAUUACCUUAAUUUCCAUUAAAUAAAUUAACUGUAAUCAAUAAAGUAAUCGUUUAAUUGUUAAUAAAUUAUCAAGUAUGA
This is a long non-coding RNA of Diabrotica virgifera virgifera (western corn rootworm), 1025 nucleotides long. RefSeq lists it as uncharacterized. The transcript has 2 exons. The record is from RefSeq and is a predicted model, not a curated record. Lineage: Eukaryota; Metazoa; Arthropoda; Insecta; Coleoptera; Chrysomelidae.